UACGGAGGGGGUUAGCGUUGUUCGGAAUUACUGGGCGUAAAGCGUACGUAGGCGGAUCAGAAAGUAAGGGGUGAAAUCCCAGGGCUCAACCCUGGAACUGCCUCUUAAACUCCUGGUCUUGAGUUCGAGAGAGGUGAGUGGAAUUCCGAGUGUAGAGGUGAAAUUCGUAGAUAUUCGGAGGAACACCAGUGGCGAAGGCGGCUCACUGGCUCGAUACUGACGCUGAGGUACGAAAGUGUGGGGAGCAAACAGG
This 253-nucleotide ribosomal RNA is filed under the name bacterium. RNAcentral describes it as "partial 16S ribosomal RNA". It matches the Rfam family "Bacterial small subunit ribosomal RNA", at positions 524 to 776 of the family's 1533-position model. RNAcentral also lists the same sequence under 2 other names. The record is from RNAcentral.